This 497-nucleotide ribosomal RNA is filed under the name uncultured bacterium. Its description in RNAcentral is "partial 16S ribosomal RNA". It matches the Rfam family "Bacterial small subunit ribosomal RNA", at positions 28 to 507 of the family's 1533-position model. The record is from RNAcentral.
GAUGAACGCUGGCGGCGUGCCUAAUACAUGCAAGUCGAGCGAACAGACGAGGAGCUUGCUCCUCUGACGUUAGCGGCGGACGGGUGAGUAACACGUGGAUAACCGACCUAUAAGACUGGGAUAACUUCGGGAAACCGGAGCUAAUACCGGAUAAUAUAUUGAACCGCAUGGUUCAAUAGUGAAAGACGGUUUUGCUGUCACUUGUAGAUGGAUCCGCGCCGCAUUAGCUAGUUGGUAAGGUAACGGCUUACCAAGGCAACGAUGCGUAGCCGACCUGAGAGGGUGAUCGGUCACACUGGAACUGAGACACGGUCCAGACUCCUACGGGAGGCGGCAGUAGGGAAUCUUCCGCAAUGGGCGAAAGCCUGACGGAGCAACGCCGCGUGAGUGAUGAAGGUCUUCGGAUCGUAAAACUCUGUUAUUAGGGAAGAACAAAUGUGUAAGUAACUAUGCACGUCUUGACGGUACCUACUCAGAAAGCCACGGCUAACUACGUG